AGAGAUUAAAGAUUUAUCGGUGAUGGAUGGGGAUGCGUCUGAUUAGCUUGUUGGCGGGGUAACGGCCCACCAAGGCAACGAUCAGUAGGGGUUCUGAGAGGAAGGUCCCCCACAUUGGAACUGAGACACGGUCCAAACUCCUACGGGAGGCAGCAGUGAGGAAUAUUGGUCAAUGGACGAGAGUCUGAACCAGCCAAGUAGCGUGCAGGAAGACGGCCCUAUGGGUUGUAAACUGCUUUUAUAAGGGAAUAAAGUGAGUCUCGUGAGACUUUUUGCAUGUACCUUAUGAAUAAGGACCGGCUAAUUCCGUGCCAGCGGCCGCGGUAAUACGGAAGGUCCGGGCGUUAUCCGGAUUUAUUGGGUUUAAAGGGAGCGUAGGCCGGAGAUUAAGCGUGUUGUGAAAUGUAGAUGCUCAACAUCUGAACUGCAGCGCGAACUGGUUUCCUUGAGUACGCACAAAGUGGGCGGAAUUCGUGGUGUAGCGGUGAAAUGCUUAGAUAUCACGAAGAACUCCGAUUGCGAAGGCAGCUCACUGGAGCGCAACUGACGCUGAAGCUCGAAAGUGCGGGUAUCGAACAGGAUUAGAUACCCUGGUAGUCCGCACGGUAAACGAUAGAUGCCCGCUGUUGGUCUGAAUAGGUCAGCGGCCAAGCGAAAGCAUUAAGCAUUCCCACCUGGGGAGUACGCCGGCAACGGUGAAAAUCAAAGGAAUAGACGGGGGCCCGCACAAGCGGAGGAACAAGUGGUUUAAUUUGAUGAUACGCGAGGAACCUUACCCGGGCUUGAAUUGCAGAGGAAGGAUUUGGAGACAAAGACGCCCUUCGGGGCCUCUGUGAAGGUGGUGCAUGGUUGUCGUCAGCUCGUGCCGUGAGGUGUCGGGUUAAGUGCCAUAACGAGCGCAACCCCUCUCCUUAGUUGCCAUCAGGUCAUGCUGGGCACUCUGGGGACACUGCCACCGUAAGGUGUGAGGAAGGUGGGGAGGACGUCAAAUCAGCACGGCCCUUACGUCCGGGGGUACACACGUGUUACAAUGGCAGGUACAGAGAGACGGUCCCUUGCAAAAUGGAUCAAAUCCUUAAAGCCUGUCUCAGUUCGGAGUGGGGGGUGCAACCCGACCCCCCGAAGCUGGAUUCGCUAGUAAUCGCGCAUCAGCCAUGGCGCGGAGAAAAAGUUCCCGGGCCUUGCACA
RNAcentral lists this ribosomal RNA (1188 nucleotides) under uncultured bacterium. Its description in RNAcentral is "bacterial SSU rRNA". It matches the Rfam family "Bacterial small subunit ribosomal RNA", at positions 196 to 1387 of the family's 1533-position model. The record is from RNAcentral.